GAUGAACGCUGGCGGCGUGCCUAAUACAUGCAAGUCGAGCGAACAGACGAGGAGCUUGCUCCUCUGACGUUAGCGGCGGACGGGUGAGUAACACGUGGAUAACCUACCUAUAAGACUGGGAUAACUUCGGGAAACCGGAGCUAAUACCGGAUAAUAUAUUGAACCGCAUGGUUCAAUAGUGAAAGACGGUUUUGCUGUCACUUAUAGAUGGAUCCGCGCCGCAUUAGCUAGUUGGUAAGGUAACGGCUUACCAAGGCAACGAUGCAUAGCCGACCUGAGAGGGUGAUCGGACAGACUGGAAAUGAGACAAGGUAAAGAAGACUAGGGGAGGCAGGAGUGGGGAAACGUCAGCAAUGGGAGAAAGCAUGACGGAGAAAAGAAGCGUGAGAGAUGAAGGUAUUAGGAUCGUAAAAAUCUGUUAUUAGGGAAGAACACAUGUGUAAGUAAGUGUGGACAUAGUGAAGGUAAAUAAGAAGAAAGAUAAGGAUAAAUACGUG
Molecule: ribosomal RNA, 497 nt
Filed under: uncultured bacterium
Lineage: Bacteria
Description: partial 16S ribosomal RNA
Rfam family: Bacterial small subunit ribosomal RNA
Source: RNAcentral